This 709-nucleotide ribosomal RNA is filed under the name Salmonella enterica. RNAcentral describes it as "partial 23S ribosomal RNA". It matches the Rfam family "Bacterial large subunit ribosomal RNA", at positions 2094 to 2802 of the family's 2925-position model. The record is from RNAcentral. Lineage: Bacteria; Pseudomonadati; Pseudomonadota; Gammaproteobacteria; Enterobacterales; Enterobacteriaceae.
UGAACCUUUACUAUAGCUUGACACUGAACAUUGAGCCUUGAUGUGUAGGAUAGGUGGGAGGCUUUGAAGUGUGGACGCCAGUCUGCAUGGAGCCGACCUUGAAAUACCACCCUUUAAUGUUUGAUGUUCUAACGUGGACCCGUUACCCGGGUUGCGGACAGUGUCUGGUGGGUAGUUUGACUGGGGCGGUCUCCUCCUAAAGAGUAACGGAGGAGCACGAAGGUUGGCUAAUCCUGGUCGGACAUCAGGAGGUUAGUGCAAUGGCAUAAGCCAGCUUGACUGCGAGCGUGACGGCGCGAGCAGGUGCGAAAGCAGGUCAUAGUGAUCCGGUGGUUCUGAAUGGAAGGGCCAUCGCUCAACGGAUAAAAGGUACUCCGGGGAUAACAGGCUGAUACCGCCCAAGAGUUCAUAUCGACGGCGGUGUUUGGCACCUCGAUGUCGGCUCAUCACAUCCUGGGGCUGAAGUAGGUCCCAAGGGUAUGGCUGUUCGCCAUUUAAAGUGGUACGCGAGCUGGGUUUAGAACGUCGUGAGACAGUUCGGUCCCUAUCUGCCGUGGGCGCUGGAGAACUGAGGGGGGCUGCUCCUAGUACGAGAGGACCGGAGUGGACGCAUCACUGGUGUUCGGGUUGUCAUGCCAAUGGCACUGCCCGGUAGCUAAAUGCGGAAGAGAUAAGUGCUGAAAGCAUCUAAGCACGAAACUUGCCCCGA